CCUACGGGUGGCUGCAGUGGGGAAUAUUGGACAAUGGGGGCAACCCCGAUCCAGCCAUGCCGCGUGUGUGAAGAAGGCCCUCGGGUUGUAAAGCACUUUCAGUGAGGAAGAACGCCUGGUGGUUAAUACCCAUCAGGAAAGACAUCACUCACAGAAGAAGCACCGGCUAACUCCGUGCCAGCAGCCGCGGUAAUACGGAGGGUGCGAGCGUUAAUCGGAAUUACUGGGCGUAAAGCGCGCGUAGGUGGCUUGAUAAGCCGGUUGUGAAAGCCCCGGGCUCAACCUGGGAACGGCAUCCGGAACUGUCAAGCUAGAGUGCAGGAGAGGAAGGUAGAAUUCCCGGUGUAGCGGUGAAAUGCGUAGAGAUCGGGAGGAAUACCAGUGGCGAAGGCGGCCUUCUGGACUGACACUGACACUGAGGUGCGAAAGCGUGGGUAGCAAACAGGAUUAGAUACCCCGGUAGUC
This 465-nucleotide ribosomal RNA is filed under the name Vreelandella stevensii. RNAcentral describes it as "partial 16S ribosomal RNA". It matches the Rfam family "Bacterial small subunit ribosomal RNA", at positions 338 to 795 of the family's 1533-position model. Lineage: Bacteria; Pseudomonadati; Pseudomonadota; Gammaproteobacteria; Oceanospirillales; Halomonadaceae. The record is from RNAcentral.